CUGAGCUCUUAUGUAGUCAGAAGAUCAAGGGACUUUUGAGAUCUGCUUUGUCAUUUGGGCUUCAGAAGGUUGCUAUUCAAUUAAUCCUGAAGUGCAUUGGACUCCACUGCUUUGAAUCACAAGGGAUUAAGCUCGGAAGACUCUGCAGUUCAAGUGCAUUUUGAUCAGUGACUGAUCU
Molecule: long non-coding RNA, 178 nt
Filed under: Phasianus colchicus (ring-necked pheasant)
Lineage: Eukaryota; Metazoa; Chordata; Aves; Galliformes; Phasianidae
Description: lncRNA (ENSPCLG00000005571.1)
Source: RNAcentral